CUGUGUCCCAGGGCCUGAGAACAGGCAGGUUUUGACUUGAUGUCAUCUGCAAAUUUCCUGAUAGUGGACUUGAUCCCAUCAUCCAUGUCAUCAAUAAAAACAUUGAACAGAACUGGCCCCAGCACAAAGGGGCCAGUACACCACUGAGGGACACCACUGGUGACUUGCCCCAGCUGGAUGCAGCACCGUUCACCAUCACUCUCUGGGCCCGGCCAUCCAGCCAGUUCCUAACCCAGCGAAGAGUGCUCCUGUCCAAGCCGUGGGCUGCCAGCUUUUCCAGGAGUGUGCUGUGGGAGACAGUGUCACAGGCCUUGCUGAAGUCCAGUGGCAGCUCUGGCUCUGUGAAAAGCUGGGAGCAAUGUUCCUGCUCCUGGUAUAUGAAGAUGAACUUGUGGUUGAGGGCCAGGCCAAGGAAUUUGGCUCUUCUGCCAGGCCCUGAAGCAGACUGCCUGCCUCAGACACACAGCACCACAGUGAGAAUCCCUGUGCCUCAAAUGUUUAACCAUACUGGGGCAUCUGGCUCCAAAGAGAUUGAGGAGAGGGAAGGGGCAGCUUGCCCCUGCUAGUCUGGAAAAUAUUGAGUAGUGGAUUGAAAAAAGCAUUUUCCUGGUGAGUUGGACCCUUUAAUGAUGAGGAUUCACAGCACCUUUGGAUCAAAAUCUUCACCAGCAUAUAUACUGACUUUGGGCAUCAUUAAAUUUAAGAGAAGACUCUCUCUCCACUCUCUUUAUGAAGGUAAGAGCCUAAGUUCAGUCAAACACAUCAGACACCUAAUUCUCUUAGGCUCACCCGUCAUUUCCUAGACCCCAACCAGGCUUUCCUGGCCACAUCCUAGUGCUCCAAAGCUGAAGGGAUCUGGUAGGGAUUCUGAUAGAUGCUGUAUUGUACUUCAUAUAUGUAUUGAUGAGUCAUCUUUUGUCACAUUAAUGCUUGCAAAGAUCUUGAGACCCUUGGGUAUGAAAAGGAUUUGGGGAUCAGGCAAUCACACACUUUGCAGCUAUCAGUUUGCUGAGCAGGGAAUGGAUUUAAGCCCACAUUUAAGGGAAUUCUAGGCUUUAAUGCAUUCUGAAAGCAUCCCAGAUUGCUGAUUUUAUGUAGUUCUGCUGUAACAGUAUCGGCUGGGAUAUUGUUCUCUGCAUUAGUCAGGACAAAACUUAGGAGAUCCCCAUAUCUGCAGAGUACUACAGGAUGGUAUUUUUGUUUUGGUUUCUGUUUCAAUUCCUCAGUCUUUACACAAGUUGUUACAUGAGGGCUGCAAGCUGCAGGCUGCCUACCUUCCUCUCUUGCUAAAGGCACCCCUGGUUACUUCAGGUAAAGCUUUCCUUCUAUACAUUCUUGCUUUAUUCCAUGUCAGCAGCUGGGUUAAUUUUGAAGGGUUUGAUCUGCAUGGGGGUGAAAGAACACAGCCACGCAGCCAGCGAGAUUUCUGAGCAUGGCAAGACAAAGCAAUCUCUUCUUUCUGUAUGCCUUCCUUGGAUUUAUUGUCUGCAUCAGCCAGGCUCCUGGUUCCAGCUGCAAGUUUUUAUUAUUCCAAGAAUAAUUGUUUGGCUAACAGAGACCUCUCCCUGCAGACAGAGGGAAGGAUCAACCCAAAUUGAUAUUUCAGAUGGAAGUUUGCUUGGAGCAGCUCACAAUAGCACAGAGAAAGCAAAAGAAGCACCUACCUUAUUUUCCCCUGGUUGGCCUUUCUCCUCUCUCUCUCUCUCCCCCCUCCACCACCUUGAAAAACAAAGAAAAAUAAGUGCAGAACUAUAUGACUGGAAGAAAAGCAGCGUAAAGACAGACUAUCAGGUUCCCUAAAGUGCAGAUUCAAACCCAGUGGCUUAUAGCAUAUUUGGGUCAGCUCCUUUGGAAGAAAUGGAGAAGACACACAAAGGAGGCACCUACAGCAUCAAUUUACUCAUCCACUUAUGGGUUAUUGUGAGUCCUGAAAUGGCAGAUUGGCUUCUCACUUAUUGAGCUGAAGCAUCAGAAAAGGAGGCCUGAAAAUGGCCUUUUUGCCCCAAUUUCUCACCCAUCAGAUGGGAUUCAUCACCAACAGAGCAGUGGGCACAGGAGAUAGGAAGGGUACCAUUUACUCUGGCAGUCAGGCAAUAUGGGAGAUGACAACUGUCCUGGGUAUGGAAACAUUACUUGGUCUUGUUUGUCUUUCUCUAAAUAUUUGGUUUUACUGACGAGAUGAAUUCCCUUUGGGCGAGGUUAGCGUUAAUCCAGAGCAGCAGUGCUUCCCUCCAGAGGACACAGCGAGGCUUCUGCCAUUGUCCUGGGGAGCAGAAUAUAUGUCCAAAGCACAAUGCCUGUCAGCCCCAAACAGGUUGCUCUGCUGACAAAACCACCCAAAACUUCACUUUUCCAAGAGCAGUCUAUAGUGUUGAAGUCCCCAGUGCUCAGUCCUGGUUAUGGUUGCUAAUAUGAACUCUACACUUAACCCACAGGCCCCAGUUUCUCUCCACAAGGCAUCCAGAUGCAUUCCUAAGCUCCACACACUCCACUUUUCCAGUCACAACUGCAUGACUCAGUGCUGCGCAGCAGUUUUCAUUUCCAAAGCAUUUUGCAAACAUGAGCUGACUAAGGCUUGCCAGCAGACCCCAUUCCUUGCCAAUUGUAUUGAAAGGGCCUCUGAGGAGAACGGCUGCAGCUCAGCCCAGAGGUGCAAUUUCAUUUUCAAUUGUAUAAGCAUUUGGGGGGAGGUUGAGAGACGAAAAAAGUUGUUGUUCAGUUGCCACUGAGAUUUUAUGCUUAUUUCAUUGCCGUGUUUACUUAGGAAUGAAACAACAUCCUAGGUGCUGAUAACAAGCUCACCUCAGAGCAUGGGACUUCUGGGCCUUGAGGGAAGACAAUAAAGGUGAUAGUUAAUGUCUCUUCAGUGUUAAAAUCUGUGACUACGAGAAAGAUGAUACGCUGGUUCUAAAACUGUAUGCCAUCUUCCUCUUCCCACUUCUUCCCCUAAGGCUGGAGGGAAUUACAGCAGGGGUUGAGUUUGCACAGAUCAA
This is an RNA transcript of Vidua macroura (Pin-tailed whydah), 2993 nucleotides long. It is a transcript of the gene named tsukushi, small leucine rich proteoglycan, with no coding region annotated. The transcript is spliced from 2 exons. The record is from RefSeq and is a predicted model, not a curated record. Lineage: Eukaryota; Metazoa; Chordata; Aves; Passeriformes; Viduidae.